This 465-nucleotide ribosomal RNA is filed under the name uncultured bacterium. RNAcentral's name for it is "bacterial SSU rRNA". It matches the Rfam family "Bacterial small subunit ribosomal RNA", at positions 47 to 507 of the family's 1533-position model. The record is from RNAcentral.
CCUAACACAUGCAAGUCGAACGGUAACAGGCCUUCGGGCGCUGACGAGUGGCGGACGGGUGAGUAACGCGUGGGAAUCUGCCUAGUAGUCGGGGGACAACCUGGGGAAACUCAGGCUAAUACCGCAUACGCCCUACGGGGGAAAGCAGGGGAUCUUCGGACCUUGCGCUAUUAGAUGAGCCUGCGUCGGAUUAGCUUGUUGGUGGGGUAAAGGCCUACCAAGGCGACGAUCCGUAGCUGGUUUGAGAGGACGAUCAGCCACACUGGGACUGAGACACGGCCCAGACUCCUACGGGAGGCAGCAGUGGGGAAUAUUGGACAAUGGGGGCAAACCCUGAUCCAGCAAUGCCGCGUGUGUGAAGAAGGCCUGCGGGUUGUAAAGCACUUUCGGAUGGGAAGAAAAGCUCAAGGCUAAUAUCCUUGAGUCUUGACGUUACUAUCAGAAGAAGCACCGGCUAACUCUGUG